Myotis brandtii (Brandt's bat) is the source of this 76-nucleotide non-coding RNA. The record is from Rfam. Lineage: Eukaryota; Metazoa; Chordata; Mammalia; Chiroptera; Vespertilionidae.
GGUGGUUCUCUGGUGAGGCACCCCAGAAUCCGACUUGUUCCUCUCUGGUUCCCUGGUGCGUCACCAGAGAACCACA